GGUGAGAGGCGUGCUUGCACCCCGCUGACGACCGGCGCACGGGUGCGGAACGCGUAUGGAACCUGCCCCUGUCAGGGGAAUAGCCCAGAGAAAUUUGGAUUAAUGCCCCAUGGUAACACGGUAUCGCAUGAUAUCGUGUUUAAAGAUUUAUCGGACAGGGAUGGCCAUGCGUACCAUUAGUUAGUUGGUGAGGUAACGGCUCACCAAGACAGCGAUGGUUAGGGGCCCUGAGAGGGGGAUCCCCCACACUGGUACUGAGACACGGACCAGACUCCUACGGGAGGCAGCAGUGAGGAAUAUUGGACAAUGGCCGAAAGGUUGAUCCAGCCAUGCCGCGUGCAGGAUGACUGCCCUAUGGGUUGUAAACUGCUUUUACACGGGAAGAAACCUCCCCUCGUGAGGGGAGCUGACGGUACCGUGAGAAUAAGGACCGGCUAACUCCGUGCCAGCAGCCGCGGUAAUACGGAGGGUCCGAGCGUUAUCCGGAAUCAUUGGGUUUAAAGGGUCCGUAGGCGGGCCGAUAAGUCAGGGGUGAAAGGCCACGGCUCAACCGUGGGACUGCCCUUGAUACUGUCGGUCUUGAGUCGUUGUGGAGUUGCCGGAACAUGUGGUGUAGCGGUGAAAUGCAUAGAUAUCACAUAGAACACCGA
This 650-nucleotide ribosomal RNA is filed under the name uncultured bacterium. RNAcentral's name for it is "bacterial SSU rRNA". It matches the Rfam family "Bacterial small subunit ribosomal RNA", at positions 66 to 712 of the family's 1533-position model. The record is from RNAcentral.